GCUCGCGAGUCGGCUUUUUCGCCCUGACCGCGCUCCUGAUGCCUCCCGGCCGCCGUAGGCGAAGGUUCGCGGAAGAGGGGAGCAGGCGCUCACCUGAGCUGACUCAGAAAUUGGAAUGAGUUGUCUGUGGAUCCUGUAAGGAGCCUGGACAUGGUGAAGAGAAUGCCUUGACCAUCAGGAGACAGCUUAGCUUGUUGAAUCUUGAUCACUUCUUCUGACCGCUUUGGAUCUUAAAAGAACAAGUGAGAACACUGUCUUGAACUGCUGGGGCAUCUGCCUAAGAAUGAAAGCAAAGAACAGAGGAAAGCAGACCUAGGAGAAGGAGGGAAAGACAACGUCCCAGUAAUAACAUUCAAGCUUCUGGAUCCAACCAUGUUUGCUGCCGGACAUUAGUCCUGGUACUUCUUGUUACAUGAUCCAGUGAAUGGCUCCUCGUGCCCUCCUCUCCCCAUAUGUUUCCUCCUUUUUUUGCUUAAGGUAGUUUGAGGUAGAUUUCCAUUGUCUGCAAGUACAGAAAGAUUUGUGGAGUAGAUAGCACCUCAGCUGCAUCUUGAAGGAUGAAUAGGAAAUUCUCAGGAGAAAUAGGGAUGGAACUGAGGAUCUUAUUUGGUCAUCCAGGCUGGACUGCAGUGGUGUGAUCAUAGCUCACUGCAGCCUCAAACUGCUGGACUCCAGUGAUCUUCCAGCCUCAGCCUCCCCCGGUAGCAAGGACUACAGGUCUCACUCUCUGUCGCCCAGCCUGGAGUGCAGUGGCAUCAUCUGAGCUCACUACAACCUCCGCCUCCCGGGUUCAAGCGAUUCUCCUGCCUCAGCCUCCUGAGUAGCUGGGACUACAGGCACGCGCCACCACGCCCAGCUAAUUUUCGUAUUUUUAAUAGACAUGGGGUUUCACCAUGUUGGCCAGGCUGCUCUUGAACUGCUAACCUCAAGUGAUCCACCAGCGUUGGCCUCUCAAAGUACUAGGAUUACAGUGCUAGGAGCCACCAUGCCCGGCCGCCUCUCUUUUCUUUUACACAUGAAGAAAAAGUGGUCAGAGAAGUUAACUUGGUCAGUGCCAAAAGCACUGGAAGUGAGUAGGACCAAGCUUUUCAUCUAGAUUUGUUUGUUAGACUCUAAAUCCAAAUUCACAACAAGAUCAGAAUAUGAGAAACCUAAGGAACAAAAUUCUAGGAAUCAUUUCUAGAAACUGUGGCUAUUGAAAAAGCACAGACCUAGGGAAUCAAAUUAUUUUCCCUGCCACCAGCACAUGGGUAGGCCUGUGACAAAUUCCAUGCUCUGGACCCCAGAUUCCUCAGUGAGAAUAGAAGGGGCUAGAGACAUCAGGGAAUUGGAUUUGGUGACUUUAAUACCCACUCAGCUCCAAAGCAUUCUUGAAUGAUGCACGAUUUAUGAAUAUAUAUAUUGAAAUUUACUGAUGGGUGAACAGCUCUCAACAUGAGAUUUUUGUUGUAUGCCUUAAAAAAGAUUAUACAUAAA
Long non-coding RNA from Homo sapiens (human), 1476 nucleotides. Ensembl annotates it as DYNLRB2 antisense RNA 1. Its record names the gene DYNLRB2-AS1. Lineage: Eukaryota; Metazoa; Chordata; Mammalia; Primates; Hominidae. The record is from Ensembl.